AAGUGGAUUGCAGCAAUCUUCCCCAUUGAAACUGGGAGCACAGAGACAAACAGUCACUCAGCCAUCAGUGUCAAGACCUGCACUGGAGGAAAAUAUAGUUCUUGGUGUUGCUUUGGAGGGCUCAAGGAGAACUCUUCCCAUUGAGGAAGGCAUGGCUUCCCAUUCAUCUCCAGAAGAGGCAAAGAAAAUGGCUGCCGCAAGCAGAAAUGGAACUGCAGCUCCAACUGGUGAGGAUGGGAAAGAUGGUCAAAGUCCAAUCCCUCCUAGUUCUACAUCCGGCGACCAGUGAAAAUCAUCUAAACUAAUCUUUGCAUAUAUGCUAAACUUUGCCCUCUGAACUGCUAACUUCUUCCUGGAACCUUCUCUUUAAAGCUCUUUCAUACAUUGUACAAGUUCAGGGUAUAUUGUCCAUGAUUAGAGCAGUGUAAUUAUACUCUUCAACCUCACAUUGUCAAUACAGCAUAUAGAAAAUGGUACAUUUCUA
Molecule: unclassified non-coding RNA, 484 nt
Filed under: Hevea brasiliensis (rubber tree)
Lineage: Eukaryota; Viridiplantae; Streptophyta; Magnoliopsida; Malpighiales; Euphorbiaceae
Source: RNAcentral